GAUGAACGCUAGCGGCAGGCUUAACACAUGCAAGUCGAGGGGCAACACGGGUAGCAAUACCUGGUGGCGACCGGCGCAAGGGUGCGUAACGCGUGAGCAACAUGCCCUAUACAGGGGGAUAAUCCAGGGAAACUUGGUCUAAUAUCCCAUAGUAUUUAGAGGUGGCAUCACCACUAAAUUAAAGCUUCGGUGGUAUAGGAUUGGCUCGCGUGACAUUAGCUGGAUGGUGGGGUAACGGCUCACCAUGGCGAUGAUGUCUAGGGGUUCUGAGAGGAAGACCCCCCACACUGGGACUGAGACACGGGCCCAGACUCCUACGGGAGGCAGCAGUGAGGAAUAUUGGACAAUGGAUGGAAAUCUGAUCCAGCCAUGCCGCGUGCAGGAAGACGGCCCUAUGGGUUGUAAACUGCUUUUAUAUGGGAGCAAUAAGGUUUACGCGUAGACCGAUGAGAGUACCAUAUGAAUAAGCAUCGGCUAACU
Molecule: ribosomal RNA, 480 nt
Filed under: uncultured bacterium
Lineage: Bacteria
Description: bacterial SSU rRNA
Rfam family: Bacterial small subunit ribosomal RNA
Source: RNAcentral